Molecule: ribosomal RNA, 492 nt
Filed under: uncultured bacterium
Lineage: Bacteria
Description: partial 16S ribosomal RNA
Rfam family: Bacterial small subunit ribosomal RNA
Source: RNAcentral
AGUGAACGCUGGCGGUAGGCCUAACACAUGCAAGUCGAACGGCAGCACAGUAAGAGCUGGCUCUUACGGGUGGAGAGUGGCGGACGGGUGAGGUAUACAUCGGAAUGUACUUCUGCGUGGGGGAUCACGUAGGGAAACUUACGCUAACACCGCAUACGACCUACGGGUGAAAGCAGGACAUCGUCGGACCUCUCGCGAUUGAAUGAGCCGAUGUCGGAUUAGCUAGUUGGCGGGGUAAAGGCCCACCAAGGCGACGAUCCGUAGCUGGUCUGAGAGGAUGAUCAGCCACACUGGAACUGAGACACGGUCCAGACUCCUACGGGAGGCAGCAGUGGGGAAUAUUGGACAAUGGGGGCAAGCCUGAUCCAGCCAUGCCGCGUAGGUGAAGGAGGCCUUCGGGUUGUAAAGCCCUUUUGUUGGGAAAGAAAAGCAGGAUGUGAAUACCGCGCGGUACUGACGGUACCCAAAGAAUAAGCACCGGCUAACUUCGUG